ACUGCUCAGUAACACGUGGAUAAUCUGCCCACAGGACGGGGAUAAUCCCGGGAAACUGGGAAUAAUACCCGAUAGAUCAUUGGUACUGGAAUGUCCUUUGAUCUAAAUGCUCUUUCUACGCCUGUGGAUGAGUCUGCGUCCGAUUAGGCUGUUGUUGGGGUAACGGCCCAACAAACCUACGAUCGGUACGGGUCGUGAGAGCGAUUGCCCGGAGAUGGGAUCUGAGAUAUGAUCCUAGGCCCUACGGGGUGCAGCAGGCGCGAAAACUUUACAAUGUGGGAAACCAUGAUAAGGGAAUUCCCAGUGUUCCUACAUAGUAGGAACUGUUUAGGUGUGUAAAAAGCACUUAAUAGAAAGGGCCGGGUAAGACCGGUGCCAGCCGCCGCGGUAAUACCGGUGGCUCGAGUGGUGGCCACUUUUAUUGGGCUUAAAGCGUUCGUAGCUGGGUUGUUAAGUCUCUUGGGAAAUCUGACGGCUCAACCGUCAGGCGUCCAAGGGAUACUGGCAAUCUUGGAACCGGGAGAGGUGAGGGGUACUUCGGGGGUAGGAGUGAAAUCCUGUAAUCCUCGAGGGACCACCUGUGGCGAAGGCGCCUCACCAGAACGGCUUCGACAGUGAGGGACGAAAGCUGGGGGAGCAAACCGGAUUAGAUACCCGGGUAGUCCCAGCCGUAAACGAUGCGCGUUAGGUGUAUCGGUGACCACGAGUCACCGAGGUGCCGAAGGGAAACCGUGAAACGUGCCGCCUGGGAAGUACGGUCGCAAGGCUGAAACUUAAAGGAAUUGGCGGGGGAGCAC
Molecule: ribosomal RNA, 797 nt
Filed under: Methanoculleus sp. enrichment culture clone A5_14
Lineage: Archaea; Methanobacteriati; Methanobacteriota; Methanomicrobia; Methanomicrobiales; Methanomicrobiaceae
Description: bacterial SSU rRNA
Rfam family: Archaeal small subunit ribosomal RNA
Source: RNAcentral